AACGCACAUUGCGCCUCUUGUAACAGAGAGGCAUGCCUGUCUGAGUCUCAUUUAAACUCCUAGCCCGAGAGGGCUUGUGUAUGGGUGCUCGCUUGUCUGGCGUCGCCUCAAAAUCAUCUGUCUUAUGAGCGGACGAGUUCCGAAUGGACUGACCGUUUGUGGGACAUGAAAUCCAUGAUUUGAGCUCAGAUCAGGUAGGACUACCGCCUGAACUUAA
Molecule: unclassified non-coding RNA, 217 nt
Filed under: uncultured fungus
Lineage: Eukaryota; Fungi
Description: sequence contains ITS2
Source: RNAcentral